RNAcentral lists this ribosomal RNA (242 nucleotides) under Escherichia coli. RNAcentral's name for it is "partial 16S ribosomal RNA". It matches the Rfam family "Bacterial small subunit ribosomal RNA", at positions 1 to 239 of the family's 1533-position model. The record is from RNAcentral. Lineage: Bacteria; Pseudomonadati; Pseudomonadota; Gammaproteobacteria; Enterobacterales; Enterobacteriaceae.
AAAUUGAAGAGUUUGAUCAUGGCUCAGAUUGAACGCUGGCGGCAGGCCUAACACAUGCAAGUCGAACGGUAACAGGAAGCAGCUUGCUGCUUCGCUGACGAGUGGCGGACGGGUGAGUAAUGUCUGGGAAACUGCCUGAUGGAGGGGGAUAACUACUGGAAACGGUAGCUAAUACCGCAUAACGUCGCAAGACCAAAGAGGGGGACCUUCGGGCCUCUUGCCAUCGGAUGUGCCCAGAUGGG